Molecule: ribosomal RNA, 212 nt
Filed under: Blastocystis sp.
Lineage: Eukaryota; Bigyra; Opalinata; Blastocystidae
Description: partial small subunit ribosomal RNA
Rfam family: Eukaryotic small subunit ribosomal RNA
Source: RNAcentral
AGACUGCGAAGGGCUCAUGAUAUCAGUUAUAGUUCAUUUGGAAUAGUUUUUAUGAGGAUAACCGUAGUAAUUAUAGGGGUAAUACAAGAGUUUUCUUCGAUGGGCAACCAUUAAAGAAGUACUUAUUAGACAUAAAACCAAUGUAAUGGUCUUAGAGUAAUAAUAAUAGUUGUCUUUAUCGCAUGCUUGUUAGUAGCGAUGUUCCUUUCAAG